AGUCCCUCCAGGGAGGAAGUGCCCCAGGAAGUUUCACCCUCACAGAAGGCUCCUGGGACCAGGAGUGUGAGCCACACCACUGACCAAGGCCGAGCAAGCACUUGCCGCCCGCCAGGGAGCUGCCACAGAGGAAGCUGUCAAGCAAACACAGCCCCCGCAGGGUGGAUUUCCCUGAUUCCCUGCCCAGUGUGAUGUUCUCCUCCAGGGGUAGCCAGAUGGUGAGAAGCAGCAGCAGCAGAGCCAGGAGGUCGUCUGAGAGGACAAGGCAGGCCUCCCGGCCCCUGGAGCGAGAGAGGGGAGCACCUUCAGGCUGGAGGCUUGCUGGCAGAGUGGGGUGCUUCUGGGCACUUACUGGUGAAGCUAAAGAGCCAUGUUACACUUGCCUGGGCUGAGAAAAGACUGACCUGACUGAAGAAUUGUAUCCUAAUUUGUUCCAGAUCCUGAACUGUAACAGGUUGUUUCUGUCAUAA
Long non-coding RNA from Echinops telfairi (small Madagascar hedgehog), 470 nucleotides. RefSeq lists it as uncharacterized. The record is from RefSeq and is a predicted model, not a curated record. The transcript has 2 exons. Lineage: Eukaryota; Metazoa; Chordata; Mammalia; Afrosoricida; Tenrecidae.